RNAcentral lists this ribosomal RNA (790 nucleotides) under uncultured soil bacterium. RNAcentral describes it as "bacterial SSU rRNA". It matches the Rfam family "Bacterial small subunit ribosomal RNA", at positions 1 to 785 of the family's 1533-position model. The record is from RNAcentral.
AUUAGUUUGAUCCUGGCUCAGAUUGAACGCUGGCGGCAUGCCUUACACAUGCAAGUCGAACGGCAGCAUGAUCUAGCUUGCUAGAUUGAUGGCGAGUGGCGAACGGGUGAGUAAUACAUCGGAACGUGCCCUGUAGUGGGGGAUAACUAGUCGAAAGAUUAGCUAAUACCGCAUACGACCUGAGGGUGAAAGUGGGGGACCGCAAGGCCUCAUGCUAUAGGAGCGGCCGAUGUCUGAUUAGCUAGUUGGUGAGGUAAAGGCUCACCAAGGCGACGAUCAGUAGCUGGUCUGAGAGGACGAUCAGCCACACUGGGACUGAGACACGGCCCAGACUCCUACGGGAGGCAGCAGUGGGGAAUUUUGGACAAUGGGCGAAAGCCUGAUCCAGCAAUGCCGCGUGUGUGAAGAAGGCCUUCGGGUUGUAAAGCACUUUUGUCCGGAAAGAAAUGGCUCUGGUUAAUACCUGGGGUCGAUGACGGUACCGGAAGAAUAAGGACCGGCUAACUACGUGCCAGCAGCCGCGGUAAUACGUAGGGUCCAAGCGUUAAUCGGAAUUACUGGGCGUAAAGCGUGCGCAGGCGGUUGUGCAAGACCGAUGUGAAAUCCCCGAGCUUAACUUGGGAAUUGCAUUGGUGACUGCACGGCUAGAGUGUGUCAGAGGGGGGUAGAAUUCCACGUGUAGCAGUGAAAUGCGUAGAGAUGUGGAGGAAUACCGAUGGCGAAAGGCAGCCCCCUGGGAUAACACUGACGCUCAUGCACGAAAGCGUGGGGAGCAAACAGGAUUAGAUAC